Carica papaya (papaya) is the source of this 477-nucleotide non-coding RNA. The record is from RefSeq and is a predicted model, not a curated record. Lineage: Eukaryota; Viridiplantae; Streptophyta; Magnoliopsida; Brassicales; Caricaceae.
CAGUAUGCAAAGCACUCACAAAACUGAGUUACUGAUUUGCUCAGGCAACGGAAGCAAUGUCUGGUAGGGAUAUUAGGGAUGUUUGCCAGCAAGCAGAACGAUCAUGGGCAUCAAAGAUAAUCCGUGGACAAGUUAGUAAAGAUGGAGACCAAGGCUCUCUUCCUCCUCUCCAAGAAUACUUGGAAAGUGCCAUGAACCGGCAAAAGGCCCUCCGCAGUAUUGCAGAACAGAGAGCACAGAAUCAAAAUCUCGACUCUCCCAGGCGGAAGCCUCGUCUUUGUGUUGAUUGAUGGUCACCAUUGUUACUCGCGAGGAAUCUCUUCUAUAUGAUUUAUUCCUUUACGAAGGGCAGGUAUUAUGGCAGUAAGACCUUUUGUAGAGAUCUUCUCUGUAUUUUUUUGUUCUUUAAUGCUCUGCCCCAAUAUCACUGGUUAGAAUCUCGAUUUUAUCGAAGAUAUAAAAUUCUCGUUUUAUAAA